RNAcentral lists this ribosomal RNA (497 nucleotides) under uncultured bacterium. Its description in RNAcentral is "partial 16S ribosomal RNA". It matches the Rfam family "Bacterial small subunit ribosomal RNA", at positions 28 to 507 of the family's 1533-position model. The record is from RNAcentral.
GAUGAACGCUGGCGGCGUGCCUAAUACAUGCAAGUCGAGCGAACAGACGAGGAGCUUGCUCCUCUGACGUUAGCGGCGGACGGGUGAGUAACACGUGGAUAACCUACCUAUAAGACUGGGAUAACUUCGGGAAACCGGAGCUAAUACCGGAUAAUAUAUUGAACCGCAUGGUUCAAUAGUGAAAGACGGUUUUGCUGUCACUUAUAGAUGGAUCCGCGCCGCAUUAGCUAGUUGGUAAGGUAACGGCUUACCAAGGCGACGAUGCGUAGCCGACCUGAGAGGGUGAUCGGCCACACUGGAACUGAGCCACGGUCCAGACUCCUACGGGAGGCAGCAGUAGGGAAUCUUCCGCAAAGGGCGAAAGCCUGACGGAGCAACGCCGCGUGAGUGAUGAAGGUCUUCGGAUCGUAAAACUCUGUUAUUAGGGAAGAACAAAUGUGUAAGUAACUAUGCACGUCUUGACGGUACCUAAUCAGAAAGCCACGGCUAACUACGUG